This 252-nucleotide ribosomal RNA is filed under the name uncultured bacterium. RNAcentral's name for it is "partial 16S ribosomal RNA". It matches the Rfam family "Bacterial small subunit ribosomal RNA", at positions 524 to 776 of the family's 1533-position model. The record is from RNAcentral.
UACAGAGGUCCCGAGCGUUGUUCGGAUUCAUUGGGCGUAAAGGGUGCGUAGGCGGCGGGGCAAGUCUGAUGUGAAAUCCCGGGGCUCAACCCCGGAACUGCAUUGGAUACUGCCUUGCUUGAGUACUGGAGAGGGAACUGGAAUUUACGGUGUAGCAGUGAAUGCGUAGAGAUCGUAAGGAAGGCCAGUGGCGAAGGCGAGUUCCUGGACAGUGACUGACGCUGAGGCACGAAGGCCAGGGGAGCAAACGGG